GCGGACGUGGCGGAAUUGGUAGACGCGCCAGCUUGAGGGGCUGGUGGCCGCAAGGCUGUGGAGGUUCAAGUCCUCUCGUCCGCACCA
RNAcentral lists this transfer RNA (87 nucleotides) under Candidatus Saccharimonadota bacterium. Its description in RNAcentral is "Candidatus Saccharibacteria bacterium (sediment metagenome) tRNA-Leu". It matches the Rfam family "tRNA". From Rfam's summary of the family: Transfer RNA (tRNA) molecules are approximately 80 nucleotides in length. Their secondary structure includes four short double-helical elements and three loops (D, anti-codon, and T loops). The record is from RNAcentral. Lineage: Bacteria; Candidatus Saccharimonadota.